RNAcentral lists this ribosomal RNA (93 nucleotides) under Oikeobacillus pervagus. The record is from RNAcentral. Lineage: Bacteria; Bacillati; Bacillota; Bacilli; Caryophanales; Bacillaceae.
ACACCCGUUCCCAUACCGAACACGGAAGUUAAGCUCUUCAGCGCCGAUGGUAGUUGGGGGCUGUCCCCCUGCAAGAGUAGGACGUUGCCAAGC